AAAUUCAUUGCCGCUGAAAGAAAGCUACAGAUAUGGAUAGGGAUAAAUGUACAUACUUUAUUCAGCUUUUGAUAGUGUUCGGUUGUAGUUGCCUAGUACUGACAGAUGCACAGCCGCUACAACAAUGCGAAAAGUCGUGCACCAGUGAUGCGACAUGCCCACAAUACAAAUGUGUUUAUAAUGAUCAUUAUGGAAGAAAAACGUGCCAGUCAAUGUGUGGAGGAGGAGGGUAGGAGUGGGAGAUUGGUGGAAUGUGAGGAUUUUUUGAGGAGGGAAAUAACUGUAAAUAACACAGUGACAAGAUAACAAAUAGAUUAUCAUUUGAACAUGUUCAGGUUCGUUUUUAACUCCACAAUA
This is a long non-coding RNA of Mercenaria mercenaria, 357 nucleotides long. RefSeq lists it as uncharacterized. Lineage: Eukaryota; Metazoa; Mollusca; Bivalvia; Venerida; Veneridae. The record is from RefSeq and is a predicted model, not a curated record. The transcript is spliced from 3 exons.